Molecule: small nucleolar RNA, 88 nt
Organism: Lupinus angustifolius (narrow-leaved blue lupine)
Lineage: Eukaryota; Viridiplantae; Streptophyta; Magnoliopsida; Fabales; Fabaceae
Rfam family: Small nucleolar RNA Z161/Z228
About the family: Z161 and Z228 are members of the C/D class of snoRNA which contain the C (UGAUGA) and D (CUGA) box motifs. Most of the members of the box C/D family function in directing site-specific 2'-O-methylation of substrate RNAs.
Source: Rfam
AAACCAUUUGAUGAACUUGGAUUUGCAUUAUCUCAUGACGGUCAUCUGAGUUUCACUAUGAUGUAGUCAUCCAUUAUAUCUGAGGGUG